AAAAAUUUUAAAACAAAACAGCGCCGUUUCAGCCAUUACCAAUAUGUUUCAUUUCUCCAUUGGUUUCACAGCCACCCAAUUGGGUGUCUCUUGUUUCUGAUUCCCCGCGGGCUUGUACCUGUGCAACUCGAGAAUCUUGUGUUCGAGCCUGACGACAAGGAUUGAAACUUCGUUGCCUCGCUGGGUUGUGGUGGUGGAUCUGCUCGUAGAAAUCGUACAGCUCCCAGAGGUGGUCCAGCGGCAACGGCGGCGGCAACUGCAGUGACAUCCUCACUAACGAUUAUGCCGUCGUUUUUGGGAUCGAGCUCGUGGUUAGCAUCAUCGUCUUCAUCUCAUCGUCACACACUCAUCUAUACCAUUUUUAGAACGUGAAUACCUCAUUUUCCCGAGAACCCAGUUUUGGGUCACUGUUCAUGCACUUGUGUUAUCGAAGUUUUUAAGAGAUUUAAAGCUACUAGUGAGCUUUAGGACAUCUUCACGAAGCUCGAAGAAGAAAAACGAAGUGAAUUGGACGUCGGGAAGUCGAGUUUGGUGAGUUUCAAGUUUGGUCGGAUUAUCGAGGUUCCCCUGCUGAAAUCUCGUGGAUUUCAAGGCUUGAAAGUGUCGGUCAUUGGAGUUUGAAGGUUGAAGACGACGAAAUAUUCCGUCAAGUUUGACGGAAUAUUCUGACGGCAUCAGGUGAGACCUAUCCUGAGGACGAGCACCAUCAAUCGAG
Long non-coding RNA from Malus domestica (apple), 715 nucleotides. RefSeq lists it as uncharacterized. The record is from RefSeq and is a predicted model, not a curated record. Lineage: Eukaryota; Viridiplantae; Streptophyta; Magnoliopsida; Rosales; Rosaceae.